Non-coding RNA from Neotoma lepida (desert woodrat), 70 nucleotides. The record is from Rfam. Lineage: Eukaryota; Metazoa; Chordata; Mammalia; Rodentia; Cricetidae.
GGAGAGAUGGCUCAGUGGUUAAGAGCAUUUGCUGCUNUUGCAGAGGACCUGGGUUCAAUUCCCAGCACCC